Molecule: small RNA, 53 nt
Filed under: Caenorhabditis elegans
Lineage: Eukaryota; Metazoa; Nematoda; Chromadorea; Rhabditida; Rhabditidae
Description: Unclassified non-coding RNA C17D12.11
Source: RNAcentral
AAAAAUAUCGAUUUUGAGUCAAGUUAUGGCGAUUUGAAGUUAGUGGCCUAGAA